CCCGCGGUGCGGCCUCGUGGGGUUCAGCCCUGCCACGGGGGCUUGUCCUGCUUCCGUGCGACACCGAAAAACUGGCAUCGCGAGCUCGCUAGAUCCGGCUGCCUACCUGCCCUUCCUUCCAUGCCCGGAGGUGCCUUCAUUCCCUUUGUGAGACCACCACCCUGGAGGACACCGAUCUCCCCAAACGGGACUCAUUGAUUACUGUGUGCUGUGCUCUGUACUAAGUCCCUUGCAGCCAAUAUCACCUUUAGCAAAACUAAAGUCCCUGUAAUGGUCACAGAGAAUCUGAGCUGGUGAAUUGAGUGUGAACAUAGCCCGCCACAGCAAUAUUGCUGCCUAAUAAGUUGAUUGAUCGGUAUGAAGCAAGAGCAUACUGACCUUUGUUGCUUUCUUUUGCUGUAAUACUGAUAAAAUGUCCACCAUGAUGAAUACGAGAGUAUAUAUUUUCUAGUGGUUUUGUCUUUGUGGAUGACCUCAGGCCAGCAGACUGGCAGCAGGAGCCAUGCAGAGAGCAGAGGAACCAUGCUGGGUAGCACGGCCAGCUCAUCCUCUAAGCCCAGAGCCCAGCUUGCAGCAGAAGUAGAUGAGGACGGUCUCCCUCCAUUACCAUCAACACACAGGCCCCAAGGGUCUGCUGCUUCCUCCUCUCUUGGUGUUCUGGCCCCAAAGAAGACAAAACUCAUUUCCUUGGUUCCUGUCUCACCAGUGAAAGCUGUCUAGAAGAUCCACAAAUACUUUAUGAAAAGACUAAAGAUGAGGGGGGAAAUCAAGUGAAUACCAGAAGCCCAAAGAUAGUCUUGCUGCCAGAACUCUACCUGUCACGGUGGGUCCCACAAGGUCGGGGACACUGCCUUAGUCAUCUUUCAUUUCCACCUCCCAGCGCAGUGCUGGAACUUGGUCAACGCGUGCUGAAUCAAACUGAACUGAUCCUUAGUCCCCAGGAAGAGAAGGCCAUGUUCGUGUGCCUUGCCCAGGGUUGCCUGUGUGCGCUUUCCUUCCCGGCUCUCAGACUAUUUCCGUAUGGCAGGAGCGUCUCAUCAACCAGCACACAGGAGCUUCCUCUUACACAACUUUGACGCUGUUAUGGUCAAGACUAAGGGAGCUAGACUCUCUCUGCAGCCCCGUACCUGUCCCUCCCCAGGUGUUUGACAGCAGACAUGGGCUCACUCUUAAAGGAGGUGCCCUCCUUCCCUCACUCUUUCACAUAGACGGAAAUGUGUGACCACACUGUGCCACCAAGCAGAUUUCCACCACAUCGUUGUGACACAAGCACUUUGCCUCCAAGGGAGGGAGUUAUACUACGCUGGCCAAAGUAUUUGCGCACAUGUACUGGUGGAGUGGAGACACCAGCUCGGGCAGGAUGGGUUUCCAUAGAGACUCUUGCCCUUGGAGCACUCGACACCCACUCAGCAGAUUACAACACCAAGAGCUGUGACUCUGACAGAUGACAGUUUUGGUGGUGCAGCCUAACUGUGAUUAACUGAUUGGCAUGUGGAGCCCAUCAGAAACAUUGUUUUAGAGUUGAAUAGAGCAAAAUUAGCAAUUGCUUUCUAACUGCUAAGCAUUUUCC
This is a long non-coding RNA of Equus asinus (donkey), 1570 nucleotides long. Lineage: Eukaryota; Metazoa; Chordata; Mammalia; Perissodactyla; Equidae. The record is from Ensembl.